ACAUCUGGCCUCAUACAAUAUAGACGAGUACAACUUCAUCAGACAGCUUAUCUUCAAAACAACUCAAGCACACACAAGAACCUGGCUUGGCGGUUAUGAUUCACCAGGGGAAGGCAUCUGGUUUUGGAGUGAUGGCUCCAGGCUUACUUUUACCAACUGGGCAGCCGUGAGCCAAACAAUGGUGGUGACAAAGAACACUGCAUGGACAUGAAUGUACAAGGACGAGACUUUGUGAACGAUGAUGUCUGUUCCAAGCAGCUUCCCUUCGUAUGUGUUCUGCAGCUCUAACCUUUCUCUUCUGAUGCCUAAUAAUCUGAACCGUAUGGCUUUCCUGCUGGUGAUGUCACUUCCACCUGGAUGUCAAGCCUCGAUGACAUCACUGCUGGAAGAACCUGAUUUCACUUGAUUUAUCACUUAAAUAAAUGUUUUCUUUCUCUGAAA
Long non-coding RNA from Poeciliopsis prolifica (blackstripe livebearer), 441 nucleotides. RefSeq lists it as uncharacterized. Lineage: Eukaryota; Metazoa; Chordata; Actinopteri; Cyprinodontiformes; Poeciliidae. The record is from RefSeq and is a predicted model, not a curated record. The transcript is spliced from 3 exons.